Molecule: non-coding RNA, 435 nt
Organism: Prunus avium (sweet cherry)
Lineage: Eukaryota; Viridiplantae; Streptophyta; Magnoliopsida; Rosales; Rosaceae
Source: RefSeq, a predicted model, not a curated record
AUUUAGUAACUCAAGGUUGAUGUUUGUGUAAUAACUAAGGGACACAAGGAAUACCUGAGGAACCACUUGUCGCCCACACCUCGUACUUAUGUCAGUGCGAAAGACUAUACAUUCUCCAAGAAAACUGAGGUUCUCUUAACGAAGAUCAUUCCAUUGACCGAGAAGGUGGAAGUGAUAGAAGCAGGCGAUGCAAUGGAAGAGUGAAAUCGCUCCACUCCACUGGGAGGGAGCAUGGGAAUGUUCCAUGUAUUCAGUUUUCAGUGUAAAACCUCAGCGACUUGAUCCCAACUUGUUAUGGGUUUGCUUAUUCCAUUUGGAUUUGACAUUUUUAUACAGACUUUGCGCUAACUAUUUUGUUUGUUGGGAAUUCAUUAAGAAUUAUUAGAGCAUCUUACAGACUUUUAAGCUGGUUGAUUAUAUUACAGAUAUUGUAUG